AACUUGUUUGUGGUGGAAAGACGAAAAGAAAAGCAAAGACCCAGUACCAGAAGGAACCAUUGUCUAAUGAGAGUUUUCAUCGACUCAGCACUAUCUAUAUGUCAGUCCUCCACAUGUGAAGUCCCAGUGAAUCUUCAACAAUCCUUAGAGGUUCUGGCUUCCUCUGUCCUGCCUGGGAGAGGAAGGUGGGCAGAAAGUAGACAAAGUUGGACAGGAGAGGGAGCUACCGUCACUCCUGGUCUCAUCUGCGUCUGAAGAAUGGUUACCCUGAGGGGUGGAUAUUGUUCUCCUCCUUAUAUUAUUCAUACUGUUUAUGAGACUGCAUAAAAUAAGUAAUAUUAUCUAAUAACUAACACAAGAUAGCUACCCAUUGCUGCUAAAGACUGUCUGCAGUGCUCCUCAUUCGUUGCAUCUGAUCCGUAGAACAACCCUGCAAAGUACAGAUGUUUUAGCAAUGUUUUACACAUGGCCUGUCGGGGCUCACCAGGGGGUCAACAGCCUGCUCAAGAGUGCCCAGCUAACCACCAGGACCUUGGUGCUCUUUCUACCAUGCCCGACUGCUCUGCCACCCAGUGGAGGUUUGAGCGAAAUCACCUGCAGGUCAGAUGGUUCAGGCAUGAUGACAGCCAGGUGCCCCAGUCAGGUGGCCGGGACCCACCAGACUUGGAGCCAAUCCAGGACACUGCUUUCCUGAGGAGGAGCCUGAGGCAUCUACUAGAGGCUCCUGGGUCCCUGGCCUUCCUUGGAGCAUCACCUACCAAGAGCUUCUCCAGGACCUGGCUCUGGGAGCUUCCAGGGUUGCUCAGAGGCAGCUGUUCCCCAGGGCAGGGUGCAGCCACCUCCUGCCCCAACUUUACCUCCACUCUCCAUGGUGAAUCUGGUGGUUAUGUGUCUGGUCUCACUAGCUGGCACCUGCAGAGUGGGUAG
Molecule: long non-coding RNA, 927 nt
Filed under: Callithrix jacchus (white-tufted-ear marmoset)
Lineage: Eukaryota; Metazoa; Chordata; Mammalia; Primates; Cebidae
Description: lncRNA (ENSCJAG00000070939.1)
Source: RNAcentral